Molecule: long non-coding RNA, 289 nt
Organism: Hyla sarda
Lineage: Eukaryota; Metazoa; Chordata; Amphibia; Anura; Hylidae
Exons: 3
Source: RefSeq, a predicted model, not a curated record
CGCAGAAGCACCACCUUUGCCAGUUACAGCCAUAUAUACACAGAGAUUAAAACUACAAUUGCGGGCGAACGGCGGCGUGGAUCAGACCAAGUCUGCAGCAUGGAAACAGAGAGGAGGGGGUUACAGAGCAGCCUGCAGUUAUUGGACGAAGAGACCCAGCACAGCAGACUUAGGGAAGAAGUGAAUGCAUGGAUAUAUGCAUGCCAAGUCAAUAACAUCCACAAGCACAAGACAUUUAGACUGCAAAGAGUCCACAUAAAGCCCAAAAAUCUUAUCUAAUCAAUGUUUC